UACGUAGGGGGCAAGCGUUGUCCGGAAUCACUGGGCGGUAAAGGGCGCGUAGGUGGUGGCUUAAGCGUGCGGUGAAAGCUCGGAGCUCAACUCCGAGUCGGCCGUGCGAACUGGGCUCACUGGAGCAUAGUAGAGGCAGGUGGAAUUCCGGGUGUAGCGGUGGAAUGCGUAGAGAUCCGGAAGAACACCGGAUGGCGAAGGCGGCCUGCUGGGGCUAUGGCUGACACUGAGGCGCGACGACGUGGGGAGCAAACAGGG
RNAcentral lists this ribosomal RNA (258 nucleotides) under uncultured bacterium. RNAcentral's name for it is "partial 16S ribosomal RNA". It matches the Rfam family "Bacterial small subunit ribosomal RNA", at positions 524 to 777 of the family's 1533-position model. The record is from RNAcentral.